UAGGAGUCGAUCAUGGCAGGCAAAUCCACCAUGAGAUCCGAACCUGACAGUAUGCCGCGUCCUUCGGGACAAGGCAAUAGUGCGCGUAAGCAUGCUGCCGAGAAAAUCCGCUAAACUUAAUCCUGCAGGUACCCGUACCGCAAACGGACACACGUAGUCGGGAUGAAUAUUCUAAGGCGCUUGAGUGAUUCACGGUUAAGGAACUAGGCAAACUGACCCUGUAACUUCGGGAUAAAGGGUCCCUACCCUUUUAUGGGAGGGCGCAGAGAAUCGGUCCAGGCAACUGUUUAACAAAAACACAGGGCUGUGCCAAAUCGAAAGAUCCAGUAUACAGCCUGACACCUGCCCGGUGCUGGAAGGUUAAGAGGAGAUGUCAUCGAUAAGAGAAGCGUUGAAUUGAAGCCCCAGUAAACGGCGGCCGUAACGAUAACGGUCCUAAGGUAGCGAAAUUCCUUGUCGGGUAAGUUCCGACCUGCACGAAUGGUGUAAUGAUCUGGACGCUGUCUCAACCGUGAGCUCAGUGAAAUUGUAGUAUCGGUGAAGAUGCCGAUUACCCGCGAUGGGACGAAAAGACCCCGUGAACCUUUACUAUAGCUUAUCAUUGAAUCUGGGCACGUGAUGUGUAGGAUAGGUCGGAGGCUUUGAAGCAGGUACGCCAGUAUUUGUGGAGCCGCUGUUGAAAUACGACCCUUUAUUUGUUUGGAUUCUAACCCGUGGAACGGGGACAUUGAUUGGUGGGUAGUUUGACUGGGGUGGUCGCCUCCAAAAGCGUAACGGAGGCUUCUAAAGGUGCCCUCCGGCCGAUUGGUAACCGGCCUUAGAGUGUAAUGGCAUAAGGGCGCUUGACUGGGAGACUAACAAGUCGAUCAGGUAGGAAACUAGAGCAUAGUGAUCCGGUGUUUCCGUAUGGAAGGGACAUCGCUCAAAGGAUAAAAGGUACUCCGGGGAUAACAGGCUGAUCCCUCCCAAGAGCUCAUAUCGACGGAGUGGUUUGGCACCUCGAUGUCGGCUCGUCACAUCCUGGGGCUGGAGAAGGUCCCAAGGGUUGGGCUGUUCGCCCAUUAAAGUGGCACGCGAGCUGGGUUCAGAACGUCGUGAGACAGUUCGGUCUCUAUCUAUCGUGGGCGCAUGAAAUUUGCGUGGCUCUGACACUAGUACGAGAGGACCGUGUUGGACAGACCUCUGGUUUGCCGGUUGUGCCGCCAGGUGCAUUGCCGGGUAUCUAAGUCUGGAUCGGAUAAGUGCUGAAAGCAUCUAAGUACGAAGCCGGCCACAGGAUUAGAUUUCUCAGGGUCGUUGUAUACUACGACGUUGAUAGGAUGCAGGUGUAAAGAUGGAGACAUCAAAGCCGAGCAUUACUAAUUGCCC
Molecule: ribosomal RNA, 1368 nt
Filed under: metagenome
Description: bacterial LSU rRNA
Rfam family: Bacterial large subunit ribosomal RNA
Source: RNAcentral